Molecule: ribosomal RNA, 498 nt
Filed under: uncultured bacterium
Lineage: Bacteria
Description: bacterial SSU rRNA
Rfam family: Bacterial small subunit ribosomal RNA
Source: RNAcentral
ACGCGAAAGCUCCCUUCGGGGAGCAAGUAGAGUGGCGCACGGGUGAGUAACACGUAGGUAAUCUACCUUUGGAUGGGGAAUAACAACCGGAAACGGUUGCUAAUACCGCAUAAUGCAGCGGCACCUAAUGGUGACAGUUGUUAAAGCGGGGGAUCGAAAGACCUCGCGUCUGAAGAGGAGCCUGCGGCAGAUUAGCUAGUUGGUAAGGUAACGGCUUACCAAGGCGAUGAUCUGUAGCCGGCCUGAGAGGGCGGUCGGCCUCACUGACACUGACAUACGGGUCAGACUCCUACGGGAGGCAGCAGUCGGGAAUUUUGGGCAAUGGGCGAAAGCCUGACCCAGCAACGCCGCGUGAAGGAUGAAAUCCCUCGGGAUGUAAACUUCGCAAGAACGGGAAGAAUAAGUAAGGGUUAAUAUCCCUUACGAUGACGGUACUGUUUGUAAGCUCCGGCUAACUCCGUGCCAGCAGCCGCGGUAAUACGGGGGGAGCAAGCGUUG